GACGAACGCUGGCGGCGUGCCUAAUACAUGCAAGUUGAGCGAUGAAGAUUGGUGCUUGCACCAAUUUGAAGAGCAGCGAACGGGUGAGUAACGCGUGGGGAAUCUGCCUUUGAGCGGGGGACAACAUUUGGAAACGAAUGCUAAUACCGCAUAACAACUUUAAACAUAAGUUUUAAGUUUGAAAGAUGCAAUUGCAUCACUCAAAGAUGAUCCCGCGUUGUAUUAGCUAGUUGGUGAGGUAAAGGCUCACCAAGGCGAUGAUACAUAGCCGACCUGAGAGGGGGAUCGGCCACAAUGGGACUGAGAAACGGCCCAAAAUCCUACGGGAAGCAGCAGGAGGGAAUCUUCGGACAAGGACGGAAGGCUGAACGAGCAACGCCGCGUGAGGGAAGAAGGGUUUCGGAUUGUAAAACUCUGUUGGUAGGGAAGAAAGAUGGUGAGAGUGGAAAGCUCAUCAAGUGACGGUAACUAACCAGAAAGGGACGGCUAACUACGUG
Molecule: ribosomal RNA, 497 nt
Filed under: uncultured bacterium
Lineage: Bacteria
Description: partial 16S ribosomal RNA
Rfam family: Bacterial small subunit ribosomal RNA
Source: RNAcentral